RNAcentral lists this ribosomal RNA (1475 nucleotides) under uncultured prokaryote. Its description in RNAcentral is "partial 16S ribosomal RNA". It matches the Rfam family "Bacterial small subunit ribosomal RNA". The record is from RNAcentral.
CUGGCUCAGAACGAACGCUGGCGGCGUGCCUAACACAUGCAAGUCGAACGCGAAAGUUUCCUUCGGGAAACAAGUAGAGUGGCGAACGGGUGAGUAACACGUGGAUAAUUUGCCUUUUGGUUGGGGAUAACAUCUCGAAAGAGUUGCUAAUACCGAAUAAGACCACAGAAUCUGCGGAUUCAGUGAUUCAGUGGUAAAAGGGGGUUUCGGCCCUCGCCAGCUGAUAAGUCCGCGUCCCAUUAGCUUGUUGGUAGUGUAAUGGACUACCAAGGCGAUGAUGGGUAGCUGGUCUGAGAGGAUGAUCAGUCACACUGGAACUGAGACACGGUCCAGACUCCUACGGGAGGCAGCAGUGGGGAAUAUUGCGCAAUGGGCGAAAGCCUGACGCAGCAACGCCGCGUGGGUGAUGAAGGCUCUCGGGUCGUAAAGCACUGUCGGCAGGAAAGACGGGUUCUAUGGUUAAUAUCCAUAGUUGUUGACGGUAGCUCCAAAGGAAGCACCGGCUAACUCUGUGCCAGCAGCCGCGGUAAUACAGAGGGUGCAAGCGUUGUUCGGAAUUAUUGGGCGUAAAGCGCGCGUAGGCGGUUUCUUAAGUCGGAUGUGAAAGCCCGGGGCUCAACCCCGGAAGUGCAUUCGAAACUGAGUAACUUGAAUCUCGGAGAGGGUGGUAGAAUUCCUGGUGUAGAGGUGAAAUUCGUAGAUAUCAGGAGGAAUACCGGUGGCGAAGGCGACCACCUGGACGAUGAUUGACGCUGAGGUGCGAAAGCGUGGGUAGCAAACAGGAUUAGAUACCCUGGUAGUCCACGCCGUAAACGAUGGAUACUAGGUGCAGCGGGUAUUGACCCCUGCUGCGCCGUCGCUAACGCAUUAAGUAUCCCGCCUGGGAAGUACGGCCGCAAGGCUAAAACUCAAAGGAAUUGACGGGGGCCCGCACAAGCGGUGGAGCAUGUGGUUUAAUUCGACGCAACGCGAAGAACCUUACCCAGGCUUGACAUUGAUAGAAUCCUGCAGAGAUGUGGGAGUGCCCUUCGGGGCCUUGAAAACAGGUGCUGCAUGGCUGUCGUCAGCUCGUGUCGUGAGAUGUUGGGUUAAGUCCCGCAACGAGCGCAACCCCUGCCCUUAGUUGCCAGCGGUUCGGCCGGGAACUCUAAGGGGACUGUCGGUGAGAAACCGGAGGAAGGUGGGGAUGACGUCAAGUCCUCAUGGCCUUUAUGUCUGGGGCUACACACGUGCUACAAUGGCUGCUACAAUGCGCUGCGAACCAGUGAUGGGGUGCCAAUCGCAAAAAAGCAGCCUCAGUUCGGAUUGGAGUCUGCAACUCGACUCCGUGACGCCGGAAUCGCUAGUAAUCGUGGCUCAGCAUGCCACGGUGAAUACGUUCCCGGGCCUUGUACACACCGCCCGUCACACCAUGGGAGUUGGUUGCUCCAGAAGUCCGUGAGCCAACAUUCGGGAGGCAGCGGCCCAAGGAGUGG